GGGAAAAGGAAUCAAGGAACCCAGGUUUUUAGCUUGAGCCAACUUGGGUGGAUGAUGAUGAGAAACGCUGGAGGAGGAACAUAGUCGGGAGCUUGGUUGGAGCUUGUUUGAAACAUCCCAGAAGAGAGCUCGAGCCGGCAGUUGGAGGUAAGCAUCUGCAGCUCAGGAGAAAGUCCGGGCUAGACUCACGCGUUUGGAGUCCUGAGCACAGAUGGGAUUUCUAGCCCGAGGGUUGGGUGAGCUCUCUGCGAAAUAAGUGUUGAUCUCUAUUCUCAUAGAUGAGGAAAUGUCCCAGAGAGGCUAAGUGACUGGGCCAAAGUGAAACAAACAGUGCGUGGCCCAGGGCAGGAACAGCACGGCCGUGUCUGGGAGGCACAGGAAGCCUGUGGGGGCUCUUCGGAGGGACAGCAGGGGUAGCUGGUUGGAGCCUAAUUCUGUCAGGCCUCGAAUCCAGCUCAGUCUGGGGAGCCAAGGUAGCGCCUGAGAUGGACUGCCUAGAGGACGUGCCGGGCUGACUUGGAGGACUCCUUCUCCCUUCAGGGGUGGCAGGAGGGGAGACGCCCUCCUCUCCACACAGGCCUCAGGUAAGGGACAAGUGGCGCAGACAACAACUGGUUUGUCCUCAACUCCAGUCUUACCUACCUUCCCAAGCCCAGCUCUGCCGUGAGACUAGUGUGCACAGCCCAUCCAACUCUGAGCAGACUCCCCAAGAAUCUCAGAAUCCCAGAACCUUAAGAGGAUUGCCUAAUUCCUGUAUUACUGCAUUUAUCUUCAGGAGUGACUUGGUUAAUACGUUAUGUCCGCCAGCCACACAAACUGAAGGCACCUUUGACCUACCCUUU
Molecule: long non-coding RNA, 842 nt
Organism: Equus quagga
Lineage: Eukaryota; Metazoa; Chordata; Mammalia; Perissodactyla; Equidae
Exons: 3
Source: RefSeq, a predicted model, not a curated record